CUUUUAAAGGAAACAAGCCCUUCAUUGGUCUUAGGAGCCA
This 40-nucleotide transfer RNA is filed under the name Proctoporus cf. bolivianus Ca3. Its description in RNAcentral is "partial tRNA-Leu". The record is from RNAcentral. Lineage: Eukaryota; Metazoa; Chordata; Lepidosauria; Squamata; Gymnophthalmidae.